AGUGAACGCUGGCGGUAGGCCUAACACAUGCAAGUCGAACGGCAGCACAGUAAGAGCUUGCUCUUACGGGUGGCGAGUGGCGGACGGGUGAGGAAUACGUCGGAAUCUACUUUUUCGUGGGGGAUAACGUAGGGAAACUUACGCUAAUACCGCAUACGCCCUACGGGUGAAAGCAGGGGAUCUUCGGACCUUGCGCGAGUGAAUGAGCCGAUGUCGGAUUAGCUAGUUGGCGGGGUAAAGGCCCACCAAGGCGACGAUCCGUAGCUGGUCUGAGAGGAUGAUCAGCCACACUGUAACUGAGACACGGUCCAGACUCCUACGGGAGGCAGCAGUGGGGAAUAUUGGACAAUGGGCGCAAGCCUGAUCCAGCCAUACCGCGUGGGUGAAGAAGGCCUUCGGGUUGUAAAGCCCUUUUGUUGGGAAAGAAAAGCAGCAGGUUAAUACCCCACUGUUCUGACGGUACCCAAAGAAUAAGCACCGGCUAACUUCGUG
This 492-nucleotide ribosomal RNA is filed under the name uncultured bacterium. RNAcentral's name for it is "partial 16S ribosomal RNA". It matches the Rfam family "Bacterial small subunit ribosomal RNA", at positions 29 to 507 of the family's 1533-position model. The record is from RNAcentral.